This 357-nucleotide transfer RNA is filed under the name uncultured Microcystis sp. RNAcentral's name for it is "partial 16S-23S ribosomal RNA intergenic spacer". The stretch from base 133 to 206 matches the Rfam family "tRNA". Lineage: Bacteria; Bacillati; Cyanobacteriota; Cyanophyceae; Chroococcales; Microcystaceae. The record is from RNAcentral.
AAGGGAGACCUAAUUCGGGUAGAAGACGAAAAAAUAGUAGUCGAAACCAAGAAUCAAUCCCAAAAGGUCGGAACGAGGUAUGUGGCUUUCAAACUAGGUUCUGGGUUCACAAAAGACCUGAAUCAGGAACAAGGGCUAUUAGCUCAGGUGGUUAGAGCGCACCCCUGAUAAGGGUGAGGUCCCUGGUUCGAGUCCAGGAUGGCCCAUCUGCACAGGUGGCAAAAACAAGAGAAACGAGGAAUCAGCACCUUAUCUUACUUACAUAGUAAGAGAGAAUGCUGGCUCUGAGUAAAGAGUCCAGAGGAACCUUGAAAACUGCAUAGAGCUAGGUGAAAAAGCCAAAAAAGAAGACCGCAA